GCCAGUUUUCUGGUUGUGGCCCACGCCCCCAUCCACAGCGCGCACAAUGAGGAUGUAUUCAGACUUCGUCUCACGGUCAAGCAAGGACGUGGUGGUAAUUUCACCUGCAGGAGAGAUGCCAUGGUAUGGAAGUGUCCCAGAAUCACCAGGGGGAAGGCUGUCUGCUGAACUCUUAUGGGACUGCUGUCUUCCAGCAAAGCACCUGGCAGACAGCAGGCCCCCACUGAUAUCUGAAUGAAUAUGUGAAUGAAUGUCCAGGAGCCUCAUGUUACUUCCCAGCUUCUGGCUGAAAAGCCUGGGGUCUCUUGUCGGUUUUCUUCUGCACCCUCUUCCCUCCCAGCUUCAAGAAGGAGAGAGAUCAGGAGGGAGGCAUCUGGAGCAGUGAAGAAGAUGGGGAAACUGAGGCACACCAUGUAUUAAGAGGAGAAGCUGGGAUUCAAGAAUGAGGUCAGCAGCUGAAGGAGGCGGGCACUUAGGCCUGAAGAAGGGCACCCCUGAGAGUGGGAUAACACUGAGGAAAAAACCGGCUGCCUGCAAACAGGAGGAGACUCCUGCCCAAAGGCAGGCUCCCUGGCUGGGCCUGCAGUCAGCGGAGGCGCACAGGACCACGGCCGUGGG
This is a long non-coding RNA of Manis javanica (Malayan pangolin), 618 nucleotides long. RefSeq lists it as uncharacterized. NCBI's taxonomy places the organism in Eukaryota, Metazoa, Chordata, Mammalia, Pholidota, Manidae. The record is from RefSeq and is a predicted model, not a curated record.